CCUUCUUCAGAGCAGCGGGGACCAACUGCCUCCGACCAGGUGAGAUGGUUCCGUCCCUCUGCUGCCUCUGACCAGGUGAGAUGGUUCCGUCCCUCUGCUGCCUCUGACCAGGUGAGAUGGUUCCGUCCCUCUGCUGCCUCCGACCAGGUGAGAUGGUUCCGUCCCUCUCCUGCCCCUGACCAGGUGAGAUGGUUCCGUCUGUCUCCUGCCCCUGACCAGGUGAGAUGGUUCCGUCCGUCUCCUGCCCACUGACCAGCUCCCACAGCUGUUAGACAAUCAAUCAAAUGUAUUGAUAAAGCAGUUUUUAGAUCAAAAGAGUGAGAAUAAGGGGUUUUACAUUAACCCGGCCUGGACUCCAGACAGCAAGCAGAGGCACACAUUAGCAAAGAAAAACUCAACAUCCAAAAUGGCACCCUAUUCACUACACAGUGCACUACUUUUCACCAGGGCCCAGGUCAAAACUAGGGCACUAUUUAGGGAAUCGGGUGCCAUUUUGGACACCCCACCUACCUGUCCCCUGGUCCUCCUCCUCAGCUUGACCUUGAUGGAGAUCUGAGUGUUCUCCAGCCUCUGUCCGCUCAGCCACUUCCUCCCAACCACACCUCACAAUCACAUCACAUCUUAUUUACAGUGCAGUUAUACACGGCAACACACUUUACAGUACAUGACACAGAUACAAAUAAACAACAUGCUAAAUAUGAGAUUCAGAAACUAACUAGAAACCCCAAAGGAUGUGUAAAAUAACUGUCAUCCCUUCAUACCUCUCCUCUCCAGACACUCCCCUGUUCCUCCUUCCUCUGCUCUCCCAGUGUGUGAUGUCAGCUGCUGCUCCCUCUUCUUCUCCAUCCUCCUCUCCGCCACAGAGCAUUCUGGGACGGCACUCUCCUCCCGGGGUGUCGUGGGGUGGUCCGAAUCGUCACUCUGGGUGACCAUGUCACCGCUCAGGACAACAGAGGACGAUGAGAGGUUUGUGACCUCCGGUUCGGAGGUCCGAGGGUGGGUUCUAAAGGGAGCUGUUCCACAGUUGACCGGUGCUUUGACGCUGGGUGGGGUGGAACUGGGGUGUGAAGUGGGGGUCAUAAUCUGGGGACUCAGGAAAGGGAGUGCCGUGUGAGUUGUGUGCUGCUGGCCUUCACUGCUGCUCUGGACUAGUAGGAGGGGUGUAGGGAGAGCAUCAGGGAGAGGACUGAGGAAAGUCAUGUAAAUACCUCCAUUACAGUCCACAGUCUGUGUCCCCAUCUCCACCAAUGCCCCCACCUGUGUCUCUCCUCCCUCCGUCUGCACCCCCACAUCUCUGAGACUGCAC
Molecule: long non-coding RNA, 1306 nt
Organism: Oncorhynchus tshawytscha (Chinook salmon)
Lineage: Eukaryota; Metazoa; Chordata; Actinopteri; Salmoniformes; Salmonidae
Source: Ensembl